RNAcentral lists this small RNA (77 nucleotides) under Xanthomonas prunicola. RNAcentral's name for it is "sX9 sRNA". It matches the Rfam family "Xanthomonas sRNA sX9". The record is from RNAcentral. Lineage: Bacteria; Pseudomonadati; Pseudomonadota; Gammaproteobacteria; Lysobacterales; Lysobacteraceae.
AUGCACCACGCCGACACUCCGAUUGUGAGUGCGCCGUCCCCAUCCAGUUGACGACUGUUCGCCACGUCGUGUUAUCC